UAACGGACACUUGAGGGGCCCACCAACAUGAAGAAAUCACAGAGCCUUCUGCUGAGUCAGUGCCCAGUGAGCAAUCUAGUAACUUCUGAUGUGAGUCAUAAUUUUCUGCAGUCGCAUUGAGGCACAUUAGGACUGAAAGAAGACGA
This is a long non-coding RNA of Archocentrus centrarchus (flier cichlid), 146 nucleotides long. RefSeq lists it as uncharacterized. The transcript has 3 exons. Lineage: Eukaryota; Metazoa; Chordata; Actinopteri; Cichliformes; Cichlidae. The record is from RefSeq and is a predicted model, not a curated record.